GACGAACGCUGGCGGCGUGCUUAACACAUGCAAGUCGAACGAAGAGCGAUGGAAGCUUGCUUCUAUCAAUCUUAGUGGCGCACGGGUGAGUAACGCGUAAUCAACCUGCCCUUCAGAGGGGGACAACAGUUGGAAACGACUGCUAAUACCGCAUACGAUCUAACCUCGGCAUCGAGGAAAGAUGAAAGGUGGCCUCUAUGUAUAAGCUAUCACUGAAGGAGGGGAUUGCGUCUGAUUAGCUAGUUGGAGGGGUAACGGCCCACCAAGGCGAUGAUCAGUAGCCGGUCUGAGAGGAUGAACGGCCACAUUGGGACUGAGACACGGCCCAGACUCCUACGGGAGGCAGCAGUGGGGAAUCUUCCGCAAUGGACGAAAGUCUGACGGAGCAACGCCGCGUGAGUGAUGACGGCCUUCGGGUUGUAAAGCUCUGUUAAUCGGGACGAAAGGCCUUCUUGCGAAUAGUGAGAAGGAUUGACGGUACCGGAAGAGAAAGCCACGGCUAACUACGUG
Molecule: ribosomal RNA, 510 nt
Filed under: uncultured bacterium
Lineage: Bacteria
Description: partial 16S ribosomal RNA
Rfam family: Bacterial small subunit ribosomal RNA
Source: RNAcentral